GACGAACGUUGGCGGCGUGCUUAAUACAUGCAAGUCAACUGAAGCAGUGGUAGCAAUAUCGCUGUGGAGGUGGCGCACGGGUGAGUAACACGUAGGUAAUCUGCCUUCAGGUCUGGCAUAACUCCGGGAAACCGGGGCUAAUAGCAGAUGAUGCAGCGGCUCGACAUCGAGACAGUUGUUAAAGCUAUGGCGCCUGAAGAUGAGGCUGCGUCUGCUUAGCUAGUUGGCGGGGUAACGGCCCACCAAGGCAACGAUCAGUAGCUGGUCUGAGAGGAUGAUCAGCCACACUGGAACUGAGACACGGUCCAGACUCCUACGGGAGGCAGCAGUAAGGAAUAUUGCUCAAUGGGAGAAAUCCUGAAGCAGCAACGCCGCGUGAGGGACGAAGGGCUUUUGCUUGUAAACCUCUGUAGGGAGAGAAAAAAAUCCCAAUCUUUGGGACAUGAUGGUAUCUCAAAAGUAAGCCCCGGCUAACUACGUG
This 481-nucleotide ribosomal RNA is filed under the name uncultured bacterium. RNAcentral describes it as "partial 16S ribosomal RNA". It matches the Rfam family "Bacterial small subunit ribosomal RNA", at positions 28 to 507 of the family's 1533-position model. The record is from RNAcentral.